CCUACGGGAGGCAGCAGUGGGGAAUAUUGGGCAAUGGGCGCAAGCCUGACCCAGCAACGCCGCGUGAAGGAAGAAGGCCUUCGGGUUGUAAACUUCUUUUAUUAGGGACGUAGCAAGUGACGGUACCUGAUGAAUAAGCCACGGGUAACUACGUGCCAGCAGGCGUGGCAAUACGUGGGUGGCAAGGGUUAUCCGGAUUUACUGGGUGUAAAGGGUGACGUGGCGGGAGUGAAAGUCAGAUGUGAAAACUAUGGGCCCAAACCAUAGCGUGCAUUUGAAACUGUACUUCUUGAGUGCUGGGAGGGCAAUCGGAAUUCCGGGUGUAGCGGUGAAAUGCGUAGAUAUACGGAGGAACACCAGUGGCGAAGGCAGAGUGCUGGACCGUAACUGACGCUGAGGCGCGAAAGUGUGGGGAGCAAACAGGAUUAGAUACCCGAGUAGUC
This 443-nucleotide ribosomal RNA is filed under the name uncultured bacterium. RNAcentral's name for it is "partial 16S ribosomal RNA". It matches the Rfam family "Bacterial small subunit ribosomal RNA", at positions 338 to 795 of the family's 1533-position model. The record is from RNAcentral.